RNAcentral lists this ribosomal RNA (409 nucleotides) under uncultured bacterium. Its description in RNAcentral is "bacterial SSU rRNA". It matches the Rfam family "Bacterial small subunit ribosomal RNA", at positions 505 to 916 of the family's 1533-position model. The record is from RNAcentral.
GUGCCAGCAGCCGCGGUAAUACGUAGGGUCCAAGCGUUAAUCGGAAUUACUGGGCGUAAAGCGUGCGCAGGCGGUUGUGCAAGACCGAUGUGAAAUCCCCGGGCUUAACCUGGGAAUUGCAUUGGUGACUGCACGGCUAGAGUGUGUCAGAGGGGGGGUAGAAUCCACGUGUAGCAGUGAAAUGCGUAGAGAUGUGGAGGAAUACCGAUGGCGAAGGCAGCCCCCUGGGAUAACACUGACGCUCAUGCACGAAAGCGUGGGGAGCAAACAGGAUUAGAUACCCUGGUAGUCCACGCCCUAAACGAUGUCAACUAGUUGUUGGGGAUUCAUUUCCUUAGUAACGUAGCUAACGCGUGAAGUUGACCGCCUGGGGAUACGGUCGCAAGAUUAAAACUACAGGAAUUGACGG